Molecule: long non-coding RNA, 723 nt
Filed under: Homo sapiens (human)
Lineage: Eukaryota; Metazoa; Chordata; Mammalia; Primates; Hominidae
Description: non-protein coding lnc-ZNF747-1:1
Source: RNAcentral
UGGCAGAGCAAGAGCACAGAAAAAUUCCUUUGGUUCCAGAAAAUCUCCUGAAAAAUAGGAAGGCUUAUCAAGCCCUCAAAGCCACCCAGGCAAAGCAGGCAUUUUUGGCAAAGGAGCAGAGGAAAGGAAAAGGGCUCAGGUUUAAGUGACUGGAAUCAUUCCUACAUGAUUCCUGGCAGGAGAAACGUGACAAGGUGCAUCUCAAGACAACUAGAAGUGCAACCUCACGCCUUGGAAUUGCCGGAUAAAUGUUCCUUGGCCUUUGUUGUACGCAUCAAAAGGAUUGAUGGCGGGAGUUUACUGGUGCAGAGAACCAUUGCAAGACUUUGCCUGAAGAAAAUUUUUAGUGGUGUCUUUUUAAAAAUGCUGCGUAUAGUGGAACCUUAUGUGACCUGAGGAUUUCCAAAUCUGAAGUCUGUCUGGGAAUUCAUUUUGAAACAUGGACAAGCCAAGGUCAAGAAUAAGACCAUCGACCAUCCCUCUGACAGACAACACAGUGAUUGAGGAGGACCUGGGGAAGUUUGGCGUCAUUUGCUUGGAAGACCUCAUUCAUGAAAUUGCCUUCCCAGGGAAGCAUUUCCAGGAGAUCUCAUGGUUCUUGCGCCCUUUCCACCUUUCAGUGGCCCGUCAUGCUACCAAAAAUAGAGUGGGCUUCCUCAAGGAGAUGGGCACACCUGGCUGUGGGGGUUAACGCAUCAAUCAGCUCAUCUGCCAGCUGAACUA